CAGAAAAAUGCCCCACUGAAACAAAAAAUGCUUUGUAAUGACUGCUUGAAAAAAUAACACAGCUCAGAUCUGAAACCAUCAUACUUCACCCGAGUCAGGAGGAGCUCUCCAGCUGCAGUCUACCAUUUGAUGCCUCCACUACCCUGCUUUAUUGAUUUUAUACACCAAAGGAUUUGUGAGCCACUGUGUUAUUACAUCCAACAGAGAUCCAUCCUGAGCGGUCCUUCCUUCCUACAGCUGUGAAACCUGCAAUGAUUCUCUGGAGAACACUGGAAAAUGAGUUGCUUCAACAUUUAAUUUCCUCUUGUGGAUUAAUUGUAAUAGAUAGUUUUUACAUGAGGAUGUGACCAAAUACACUUAUCGCAAAGCUCUUAAGCUCCUAAACGUAUCUUCACAUGCAGCAAAUAGUUUUUACUUUACAAGAUAUCAAAAUAUAGAAACAAGAAGUUCCACUCAAGCAUUUGGAAUGUGAAAAAUAAGCCAAAAAAGCUAAGUGUUAGAUAGAGUAACCUUAAACUGAAUGUAAUACAGUCUAAUGAUACAUCUUUUUUUGCUAGUUCUAAGCAAGUGUUUUGUAGUUUUUUGAGUUUUU
Molecule: non-coding RNA, 592 nt
Organism: Oryzias latipes (Japanese medaka)
Lineage: Eukaryota; Metazoa; Chordata; Actinopteri; Beloniformes; Adrianichthyidae
Source: RefSeq, a predicted model, not a curated record